Oncorhynchus tshawytscha (Chinook salmon) is the source of this 2120-nucleotide long non-coding RNA. The record is from Ensembl. NCBI's taxonomy places the organism in Eukaryota, Metazoa, Chordata, Actinopteri, Salmoniformes, Salmonidae.
CACAAUUUAAUAUAUUUAAAAUUCAAGCUGUAGCACAACAAAAUGUGGAAAAAGUCAUGUGAAUCAUUUCUGUAUACAGGGAUUAACAAGUAGAGUGAAAAUGACAACUUAUCAUGCAUCGAUGCAACGCCAGAACAACAAAACUAGAUAUGCUAAAGACAAUUUCCCAACAGACAACACACACACUGGAUAGACCCUUCAUGCAUCACAUGAUAAUAACAAUCAAUGAAGAGAUAUUUAAUCGUAUCUACCCCAACACAUACAACAUGACCACAAUAACUUACAGUACGUACCAGAUUUAAGACCUGCAAAAUGGUCGGUGAAUAUUGAGUAUGAUUUUCUCUGUGUGCCUGGGAAAACACGUUCAGCUCUCGGCUCUUGACGUUAAAAAUAAUUUAAUUAGAAGAAUUUGACAUCAUUGACAUUUCAACAAUCUUGGCCUUGUCUCUGUCUGUCCUGUCCCCUCAGUAGCCAUGAUGGUUCAAACAGACCCUCGGCAGCCAUGAUGGAUCAGACAGGCCCUCUGUAACCAUGAUGGUUCAGACAGGCCCUCGGCAGCCAUGAUGGAUCAAACAGGCCCUUGGCAGCCAUGAUGGUUCAGACAGACCCUCAGUAGCCAUGAUGGUUCAGACAGACCCUCAGUAGCCAUGAUGGUUCAGACAGACCCUCGGCAGCCAUGAUGGAUCAGACAGGCCCUCGGCAGCCAUGAUGGUUCAAACAGGCCCUCUGUAACCAUGAUGGUUCAGACAGACCCUCAGUAGCCAUGAUGGUUCAGACAGACCCCGGGCAGCCAUGAUGGAUCAGACAGGCCCUCGGCAGCCAUGAUGGUUCAGACAGACCCUCGGCAGCCAUGAUGGUUCAAACAGGCCCUCUGUAACCAUGAUGGUUCAGACAGGCCCUCUGUAGCCAUGAUGGUUCAGACAGACCCUCGGCAGCCAUGAUGGUUCAGACAGACCCUCAGUAGCCAUGAUGGUUCAGACAAGCCCUCGGCAGCCAUGAUGGUUCAGAGAGACCCUCUGUAGCCAUGAUGGUUCAGACAAGCCCUCGGCAGCCAUGAUGGUUCAGACAGGCCCUCAGUAGCCAUGAUGAUUCAGACAGGCCCUCGGUGGUACAAACAACCUCUUCUUCAUUUCUUCUUCUUAGAGAGAGUGUUGAGCCAGGAGGAAGAGAAGCUGAGACGAGGGGUCUCAUUGGAGGAAGGCGAGGAGGGGGAGGAGUGGGAGGAGGGACCACCUGCCUGUGGUGUGGGGUUCUCUGGCCAAGGCUCAAUCUGGACAGAGAAAGGAGAUGGACAGAUGCCUUCAAAUGCAAGGUACUACAGAUAAGGAAGCCUCAUCUGUUUAGGCCAAUAAGCUACUGAGAAGGUCACGUAGGCUAUUCAAGAGAGCACACCAAGAAUGCAUUAUAUGGAGACACAGAGAGAUGCUUACCUGGAAUCAUUCACGUUUUGUUGGAAAAACUUGUCAAUAAUCAACUGACUGGCUUUCUUUGAUGUCUACAUUAUUCUCUCUGGUAUGCAAUCUGGUUUCUGCUCAGGUUAAGGAUGUGUCACUGCAACCUUAAAAGGUCCUCAAUGAUGUCACCAUUGCCCUUGAUUCUAAGCAAUAUUGUGCUGCUAUUUUUAUUGACUUGGCCGAAGCUUUCGAUACGGUAGACCAUUCCAUUCUUGUGGGCUGUCUAAGGAGUAUUAGUGUCUCUGAGGGGUCUUUGGUCUGGUUUGCUAACUACCUCUCUCAAAGAGUGCAGUGUACAAAGUCAGAAAAUCUGUUGUCUCAGCUGCUGCCUGUCACCAAGGGAGUACCCCAAGGCUCGAUACUAGGCCCCACUCUCUUCUCAAUUUACAUCAACAACAUAGCUCAGGCAGUAGGAGGCUCUCUCUCUCAUCCAUUUAUAUGCAGAUGAUACAGUCUAUUACUCAGCUGGUCCCACCCCGGAUUUUGUGUUAAAUGCUCUACAACAAAGCUUUCUUAGUGUCCAACAAGCUUUCUCUACCCUUAACCUUGUUGUGAACACCUCCAAAACAAAGGUCAUGUGGUUUGGUAAGAAGAAUGCCCCUCUCCCCACAGGUGUUAUUACUACCUCCUGGGGGUUUAGAGCUUGAUGUAGUCACCUCAUACAAG